GUACACGCUGUGACUAGCAUAUCAAUAAGCGGAGGAAAAGAGGGCUAUUACCUACGCUUAGGAUGUUGACACACGCGCGUGCUCGAUGAUAGUCUAUACAUGACUCUGUGCAUAUCAAUAAGCGGAGGAAAAGAAACUAACAAGGGAUUCCCCUAGUAACGGCGAGUGAAGCGGGAAGAGCUCAAAUUUGAAAUCUUAAAGGGUUUCCCUUUACGAAUUGUAGUUUAAAGAAGUGUUUUCUGUUGAGGUUUUGGUAAAAGUUCUUUGGAAUAGGACAUCAUAGAGGGUGAGAAUCCCGUAUUUGACCAUUUACUUUCAACUUUGUGAUACACUUUCAAAGAGUCGGAUUGUUUGGGAAUGCAGUCCGAAAUGGGUGGUAAAUUUCAUCUAAAGCUAAAUAUUGGCGAGAGACCGAUAGCGAACAAGUACCGUGAGGGAAAGAUGAAAAGAACUUUGAAAAGAGAGUUAAACAGUACGUGAAAUUGUCAAAAGGGAAGCGUUUGACACCAGUGUUGUUUUUCUGAAAAUCAAUUAAAGAACUGUUUAUGCUAAGCUUGUUUAGACUUUAUCAGCUAUCUGUUUAGUUUUGAGCUUUUCUUUAAUGCACUUUUCAGUUAACAAGUCAACAUCAAUUUCUUUUGCUGUAAAAAAGCUUGAGGAAGGUGGCUUGAGAUUCGUCUUAAGUGUUUAUAGCCUCUUGCCUAUGCAGUCGGAGAGAUUGAGGUCUGCAGCGUAGAUCCUUCGGGGCUAAAUGCAUUUGUGCUAAGUUAUAGCAUUUUAUAGACAACUUGUUGACUAUGAUUUGUCUUGUAGCUUACUCGCUUAUGUUAUUUUACCUACGCUUAGGAUGUUGAGUCGUAGAGCACGCAG
This 870-nucleotide ribosomal RNA is filed under the name uncultured Neocallimastigales. RNAcentral's name for it is "partial large subunit ribosomal RNA". It matches the Rfam family "Eukaryotic large subunit ribosomal RNA", at positions 1 to 628 of the family's 3401-position model. Lineage: Eukaryota; Fungi; Neocallimastigomycota; Neocallimastigomycetes; Neocallimastigales. The record is from RNAcentral.